AUUGAACUACCCUUUUUGGAGAGUUUGAUCCUGGCUCAGGACGAACGCUGGCGGCGUGCCUAAUACAUGCAAGUCGAGCGGAGUGUUCCCUUCGGGGUUCACUUAGCGGCGGACGGGUGAGUAACACGUAGGCAACCUGCCCA
RNAcentral lists this ribosomal RNA (143 nucleotides) under Paenibacillus antri. Its description in RNAcentral is "Paenibacillus sp. SYSU_K30003 partial 16S ribosomal RNA". It matches the Rfam family "Bacterial small subunit ribosomal RNA", at positions 1 to 132 of the family's 1533-position model. Lineage: Bacteria; Bacillati; Bacillota; Bacilli; Caryophanales; Paenibacillaceae. The record is from RNAcentral.